GAUAAACGCUGGCGGCGUGCCUAAUACAUGCAAGUCGAGCGAACGGACGAGAAGCUUGCUUCUCUGAUGUUAGCGGCGGACGGGUGAGUAACACGUGGAUAACCUACCUAUAAGACUGGGAUAACUUCGGGAACCCGGAGCUAAUACCGGAUAAUAUUUUGAACCGCAUGGUUCAAAAGUGAAAGACGGUCUUGCUGUCACUUAUAGAUGGAUCCGCGCUGCAUUAGCUAGUUGGUAAGGUAACGGCUUACCAAGGCAACGAUGCAUAGCCGACCUGAGAGGGUGAUCGGCCACACUGGAACUGAGACACGGUCCAGACUCCUACGGGAGGCAGCAGUAGGGAAUCUUCCGCAAUGGGCGAAAGCCUGACGGAGCAACGCCGCGUGAGUGAUGAAGGUCUUCGGAUCGUAAAACUCUGUUAUUAGGGAAGAACAUAUGUGUAAGUAACUGUGCACAUCUUGACGGUACCUAAUCAGAAAGCCACGGCUAACUACGUGCCAGCAGCCGCGGUAAUACGUAGGUGGCAAGCGUUAUCCGGAAUUAUUGGGCGUAAAGCGCGCGUAGGCGGUUUUUUAAGUCUGAUGUGAAAGCCCACGGCUCAACCGUGGAGGGUCAUUGGAAACUGGAAAACUUGAGUGCAGAAGAGGAAAGUGGAAUUCCAUGUGUAGCGGUGAAAUGCGCAGAGAUAUGGAGGAACACCAGUGGCGAAGGCGACUUUCUGGUCUGUAACUGACGCUGAUGUGCGAAAGCGUGGGGAUCAAACAGGAUUAGAUACCCUGGUAGUCCACGCCGUAAACGAUGAGUGCUAAGUGUUAGGGGGUUUCCGCCCCUUAGUGCUGCAGCUAACGCAUUAAGCACUCCGCCUGGGGAGUACGACCGCAAGGUUGAAACUCAAAGGAAUUGACGGGGACCCACACAAGCGGUGGAGCAUGUGGUUUAAUUCGAAGCAACGCGAAGAACCUUACCAAAUCUUGACAUCCUUUGACAACUCUAGAGAUAGAGCCUUCCCCUUCGGGGGACAAAGUGACAGGUGGUGCAUGGUUGUCGUCAGCUCGUGUCGUGAGAUGUUGGGUUAAGUCCCGCAACGAGCGCAACCCUUAAGCUUAGUUGCCAUCAUUAAGUUGGGCACUCUAAGUUGACUGCCGGUGACAAACCGGAGGAAGGUGGGGAUGACGUCAAAUCAUCAUGCCCCUUAUGAUUUGGGCUACACACGUGCUACAAUGGACAAUACAAAGGGCAGCGAAACCGCGAGGUCAAGCAAAUCCCAUAAAGUUGUUCUCAGUUCGGAUUGUAGUCUGCAACUCGACUACAUGAAGCUGGAAUCGCUAGUAAUCGUAGAUCAGCAUGCUACGGUGAAUACGUUCCCGGGUCU
Molecule: ribosomal RNA, 1372 nt
Filed under: uncultured bacterium
Lineage: Bacteria
Description: bacterial SSU rRNA
Rfam family: Bacterial small subunit ribosomal RNA
Source: RNAcentral